CAUUGUAAUGAGAAUAAGUUUAUACAUAUAUUAUUGUCAAAAGAGUAACUGCGGAGUUUCUUGCCGAUUCUUCUCUGCAUAAUCUACAUUCUAAAUCGGUGGGAGCUUUACUCUUACAAAAAUAAUGAUCAAUU
This is a long non-coding RNA of Melitaea cinxia (Glanville fritillary), 134 nucleotides long. RefSeq lists it as uncharacterized. NCBI's taxonomy places the organism in Eukaryota, Metazoa, Arthropoda, Insecta, Lepidoptera, Nymphalidae. The transcript is spliced from 3 exons. The record is from RefSeq and is a predicted model, not a curated record.